GAUGAACGCUGGCGGCGUGCCUAACACAUGCAAGUCGAGCGGUGAAUUGUUGCUUGCAACAAUUCUUAGCGGCGGACGGGUGAGUAACACGUGGGUAACCUGCCCUCAACAAAGGGAUAACAAUGAGAAAUCAUUGCUAAUACCGUAUAAGCAUACACUAUCGCCUGAUAGAGUAAGAAAAGAUUUAGCGGUUUAGGAGGGGCCCGCGUCUGAUUAGCUAGUUGGAGAGGUAACGGCUCACCAAGGCGACGAUCAGUAGCCGACCUGAGAGGGUGAUCGGCCACAUUGGGACUGAGACACGGCCCAAACUCCUACGGGAGGCAGCAGUGGGGAAUAUUGCACAAUGGAGGAAACGCUGAUGCAGCAACGCCGCGUGAAGGAAGAAGGUUUUCGGAUCGUAAACUUCUAUCUACAGGGAAGAAAAAAAUGACGGUACCUGAGUAAGAAGCCCCGGCUAACUACGUG
RNAcentral lists this ribosomal RNA (465 nucleotides) under uncultured bacterium. RNAcentral describes it as "partial 16S ribosomal RNA". It matches the Rfam family "Bacterial small subunit ribosomal RNA", at positions 28 to 507 of the family's 1533-position model. The record is from RNAcentral.